RNAcentral lists this unclassified non-coding RNA (1218 nucleotides) under Hevea brasiliensis (rubber tree). The record is from RNAcentral. Lineage: Eukaryota; Viridiplantae; Streptophyta; Magnoliopsida; Malpighiales; Euphorbiaceae.
GCCUUGCCCAAUUUUUUCCGCGAGGUUGACUUGCACAAUGGCUUGGAAUCUUCAGAAGGCAUGUCCAAUGUCUCGGUGUUUUCAGUCCGCGGUUGAGUUUGAACUGGUGAGGGUUCUCUCUGUCUCUGUUCACGAAACAACAUCAAAAGCUUCUGAGCUUUUUGCUUUCCUCUCAUAGUCCCAUUUACUGAUACCGACACCAAUGAAGGUAUCACUCCUUCUUGAAGGACCAUUUGGCUGCACUUCUCAUUUCCAUUGCAUAAUAUCAACAUACAAGCUGCAGCUUGCUCCUGUUCUAAAGGCUCCCCAACGUCCAAAACCGUUGCAAGACUACUGAUAAGACCAGGAGAUGACACAAUUUCAUCCCUUGCAGAUUUACUUAGAGAUAGGUUUAUAAGAACCGCUAUGCAUUUUUCUGUCGUAUGGUCAUCCGUAUAUGACAUAAGAGUUUUCAGUCCAUCCAGAAUGCCAGCUGACAGAAGGUGUGGAGUAUUUGUUGGAUUACUGGAGAGAUUAAAUAGUGCAUGGAGGGCAUCCAGCUUACAUUGAGUAUCGGUCUCACGCUGUAGGACUCCGAUCAAGAAUGGAAUGGCUUCACCAGAACCAAUAAUGGGCUUGGCUUCCUCAAGGCACGAAAGAUUCAGGUAAAGAGCUGUCGCUGCACUGAUUGCACUGGAAGUAGCAACCAUUCUUCCCAGCAAAGGAAGAACACCCGCCGCCAGCAUCAACUCCUUGUUCCUGUUAUUAUUUACUCCAAGGUUGAAGAGGGCCAUGGUUCCGAUUUCUUGAGCAAUCUCAUUCCUGGUUUGUAUAGCACACUCCAAAAACCCUAGUAGUGCUUCAAUAAAGCCAUUUGCUCCCAUAUAAAUCCUGAUUUCUUCAUCAUCCUUUAGCAGAUGCCUUAUCUGUUCUACCACUUUGCACUUUUUCCUGUAAUCUUCCCCUUCAUUUAAGAUGGCUAAGAAGUCAUCGUAUCUUUCAAGAGAAUUGUCUUGAAGCUCAUCUUCCUGGACAGAUUCAUCUACUUCAGUCCCUUCGGCCUCCUCAAUAAUACCACUAUCUUCCAAAGGAACCACCUUGACACCUUUGAACUUGCAAGAAACGAUACUUCCCGUAGAUUUGGAAUUCGUGCACUCACUUUCAGACAAAGCCAGUCUCCAGUAAUUGAGAUCAAGGGAGUCAGGUGGGCCAUCCGGAAUCGGAACCCCAUACUGUUCG